UGGGGAAUUUUUGGACAAUGGGGGCAACCCUGAUCCAGCCAUGCCGCGUGAGUGAAGAAGGCCUUCGGGUUGUAAAGCUCUUUCGGCCGGGGAAGAAAUCGCUCAAGCUAAUACCUUGGGUGGAUGACGGUACCGGAAGAAGAAGCACCGGCUAACUACGUGCCAGCAGCCGCGGUAAUACGUAGGGUGCGAGCGUUAAUCGGAAUUACUGGGCGUAAAGCGUGCACAGGCGGUUUCGUAAGACAGAUGUGAAAUCCCCGGGCUUAACCUGGGAACUGCGUUUGUGACUGCGAGACUUGAGUGCGGCAGAGGGGGGUGGAAUUCCACGUGUAGCAGUGAAAUGCGUAGAGAUGUGGAGGAACACCGAUGGCGAAGGCAGCCCCCUGGGUCGACACUGACGCU
This 402-nucleotide ribosomal RNA is filed under the name uncultured bacterium. RNAcentral's name for it is "bacterial SSU rRNA". It matches the Rfam family "Bacterial small subunit ribosomal RNA", at positions 355 to 747 of the family's 1533-position model. The record is from RNAcentral.